Magnolia sinica is the source of this 2172-nucleotide long non-coding RNA. RefSeq lists it as uncharacterized. The record is from RefSeq and is a predicted model, not a curated record. The transcript has 3 exons. Lineage: Eukaryota; Viridiplantae; Streptophyta; Magnoliopsida; Magnoliales; Magnoliaceae.
AACAAAAGCUGGAUUAGCUGACAAUGUGCGUGGCUAGUUUACCGGCGCUAAUUAAAAUGGGGCGUCGGUCAGUGAUCGGGUAUAAAUACCAUACGUACCAAAAUCCCUAACCCUUUUUCUCCCUUAUCCCGACUCUCUCUCUCUCUCUCUCUCUCUCUCUCUCUCUCUCUCUCUAGAUGCAGCGAUAGCCAUCGCCAUCUCCACCUCUACUAUCCCUUUCUCAAUCGACCCUCUCUCUCUCUAUUUCCCCUUUUCCCUCUCUCAAUCGACCAUCUCUCUUCGUUUCCCCUUUCUCAAUCCACCUCUACUCCUCUAGGGUUUCUCUCUCUCUCUCUCUCUCUCUCUCUCUCUCUCUCUCUCUCUCUCUCUCUUUCUUAGGGGUUUUUAAUCUCUAUCUCUCUUUUAACAUGUCUAAGGAUGAGAUACAAGGAUCUCUGCAAUCUGAUGUAUGAUAUGGACAUCAAGGAAGCCUUAGCCACUUGCAUCUCAAGCAUUCAAUGGAUCUCUCCAUAAAGCACAAAUAUCUCCCCGAAGAUCUACAGGAAGCCGCAGCAUAUUCUCGAACCUGGCAGGGGCACUUGCAGAAUUUGCUGGGCUAUGCUUGCUCUGAGUACUGUGUGUAUAAAAUGAUUAAGUUAGUUACUAUUGAGCGAGGUAUGUGACUGUUAUCGUUGAUUUUUGCAGUCUUUGCAGAGUGUGGUUUUCAAGGAGGUAUGUUUUUGUAAAUUCCUCAUGGAUCCCUCUUAAAUCAAAAUUGUUCAACUAUUCUCCUGUAAAUCUAUUCCAAGAUAUCGGUCUUACAUUCCAGUUAGGUUGCACGCACAUUUCAUGUUUUUUGCAUGUUGUAAUUUUGUUAUUUGCAUUGGUUCAAGAAAUCAGGAAAUGAUGCAGCUGUCCUUGUUUUGCAUAGGGGUUUCGAAUAUAGGUCAUGGUUUUGAGCUUUUACAAAUGUAUUUGCCUUUUUUGUAAGAAAAUAGUUCAUCACUUAAUGCGCCUGUCUUUACAGUUAUCCAGCCAUUUUGGUGGCCAAUUACGGGUAUGGUCCCUGAUCAUUUGGUCUGUUCCAGGUUUUGAAAAACUUCAUUCAGUUUUCAAAGGGCACAGCAUCUUUUCAACAACGCUCGGAAAAACUUAAAAUAUUCACAACUGGGAGAACGCAAGAUUAUCGAAUUUUAUUUUAUUUUUCUUAGCAAGUAACAGACUGUGUAGAGAAUUUAAUAAUAUUUCUAGGGACAGCAUAACAUUACGAGGUAUAGCACAGAUAAUUAAAAGAGUGGUUUUUUAUUGAAAUGGAAUUUGAUUUCCAAUGUCUUAGCUCACAAUUGUUGCCUCUGUGCAGUUUUUCUUUGCGGUUUCAAGAGUUGGGAGUGGUGGAUCAACAAUUAACGUUGUUCUUUUCCUGUCUGAGAUCAUGGGCAUGUAUUUCGUAUCAUCAAUUCUAUUAAUAAGGAAGAGUUUAGCAACUGAGUACAGGUAUUCUGUCUGCCCAUUAUUGCUAGCAGAUGAAGUUUGUUCAUGGUUGUGCAAAAUCAUUUUUGCCAAAUUCCUUUCCGUGGUAUCAUGUGUGGAUCGUGCCUUGAUAUCACUUGUUUAUUUUCCAUGUUCUGAGAACAUAAAUUUGCUAGCAGAUUAAGUUUGUUUAUGAUUGACCAAAAUAAUUGUUUGCCAAAUUCCUUACAUUACUUGGUAUCAUAGGUGAAACCUUUUUGUUCCUUGAUAUCACUUGGGGCAUGUUUGGAUGGCUGGCAAUGGAAAGGGAAGGGGGAAAAUCAUUAUUUCCAAGAGCAAUAUUUUCCCAAAAAUUCCAAGAUUGGAUUUCUUAUUUGGAUGACAAGUGAAAAUCUUAUAUUUGUAAGACAACGGUCACAUCAUUUCAUUUGCUACUAUGGAAAGGCACACUAAUUGCUUGGAAUCCUCUCUUUUACCCAAACAUCCCAAAUUGUCACAUUGAUGGAAAACCUUCUCCAUUUCCUUUAUUUUCCCUUGGGUUCCAUGUAUCCAAAUAUUGCCUUAAUGGAAAAAUUCCCGUGGUCUCAAAACAUCAGAAAUUUGCUUUGGUGCUGCUUUGGGUUUAUGAAAAAAAAAAAAAAAAACUUAUCAUACCAAUAAACACAAACUUGAUCUGGCACAAUUUUGUAGCAAGAGAAGAAGGAAGAAGAAGAAGAAAGAAUA